GGUUGUGGCUCAGUGGUAGAGUGCUCACCUAGCAUGCACGAGGCAUUGGGUUCGAUCCUCCGCACCA
This 67-nucleotide transfer RNA is filed under the name Marmota monax (woodchuck). RNAcentral describes it as "tRNA.Ala". Lineage: Eukaryota; Metazoa; Chordata; Mammalia; Rodentia; Sciuridae. The record is from RNAcentral.